Molecule: ribosomal RNA, 383 nt
Filed under: uncultured Elusimicrobiales bacterium
Lineage: Bacteria; Pseudomonadati; Elusimicrobiota; Elusimicrobia; Elusimicrobiales
Description: partial 16S ribosomal RNA
Rfam family: Bacterial small subunit ribosomal RNA
Source: RNAcentral
CCUACGGGCGGCAGCAGUGGGGAAUUUUGGACAAUGGGCGAAAGCCUGAUCCAGCGACGCCGCGUGGAGGACGAAGGUCUUCGGAUUGUAAACUCCUUUUGCAGGGGACGAAAAAAAUGACGGUACUCUGCGAAUAAGCCACGGCUAACUACGUGCCAGCAGCCGCGGUAAUACGUAGGUGGCGAGCGUUACUCGGAAUCACUAGGCGUAAAGCGCGUGUAGGCGGUAUUUUAAGUCUGUUGUGAAAUCUUAUGGCUAAACCAUAAAAUGUCGACAGAUACUAAAGUACUAGAGUGAGGAAGGGGAAACUGGAAUUCCAGGUGUAGCGGUGGAAUGCUUAGAUAUCUGGAAGACCGCCAAAGGCGAAGGCGGGUUUCUGGGCC